AACGCUGGCGGCAGGCUUAACACAUGCAAGUCGAGCGGGGGAGAUUGCUUCGGUGAUUGACCUAGCGGCGGACGGGUGAGUAAUACUUAGGAAUCUGCCUAUUAAUGGGGGACAACAUCUCGAAAGGGAUGCUAAUACCGCAUACGCCCUACGGGGGAAAGCAGGGGAUCACUUGUGACCUUGCGUUAAUAGAUGAGCCUAAGUCGGAUUAGCUAGUUGGUGGGGUAAAGGCCUACCAAGGCGACGAUCUGUAGCGGGUCUGAGAGGAUGAUCCGCCACACUGGGACUGAGACACGGCCCAGACUCCUACGGGAGGCAGCAGUGGGGAAUAUUGGACAAUGGGGGGAACCCUGAUCCAGCCAUGCCGCGUGUGUGAAGAAGGCCUUAUGGUUGUAAAGCACUUUAAGCGAGGAGGAGGCUCUCUUGGUUAAUACCCAAGAUGAGUGGACGUUACUCGCAGAAUAAGCACCGGCUAACUCUGUGCCAGCAGCCGCGGUAAUACAGAGGGUGCGAGCGUUAAUCGGAUUUACUGGGCGUAAAGCGUGCGUAGGCGGCUUUUUAAGUCGGAUGUGAAAUCCCCGAGCUUAACUUGGGAAUUGCAUUCGAUACUGGGAAGCUAGAGUAUGGGAGAGGAUGGUAGAAUUCCAGGUGUAGCGGUGAAAUGCGUAGAGAUCUGGAGGAAUACCGAUGGCGAAGGCAGCCAUCUGGCCUAAUACUGACGCUGAGGUACGAAAGCAUGGGGAGCAAACAGGAUUAGAUACCCUGGUAGUCCAUGCCGUAAACGAUGUCUACUAGCCGUUGGGGCCUUUGAGGCUUUAGUGGCGCAGCUAACGCGAUA
RNAcentral lists this ribosomal RNA (838 nucleotides) under Acinetobacter sp. RNAcentral describes it as "bacterial SSU rRNA". It matches the Rfam family "Bacterial small subunit ribosomal RNA", at positions 32 to 862 of the family's 1533-position model. The record is from RNAcentral. Lineage: Bacteria; Pseudomonadati; Pseudomonadota; Gammaproteobacteria; Moraxellales; Moraxellaceae.